CCUACGGGAGGCAGCAGUGGGGAAUUGUUCGCAAUGGGCGCAAGCCUGACGACGCAACGCCGCGUGGAGGACGAAGACCUUCGGGUCGUAAACUCCUGUCGAGUGGGACGAACGGCCCGCGACCUAAUACGUCGCGGGAGUGACGGUACCGCUAAAGGAAGCCCCGGCUAACUCCGUGCCAGCAGCCGCGGUAAUACGGGGGGGGCAAGCGUUGUUCGGAAUUACUGGGCGUAAAGGGCUCGUAGGCGGCCAACUAAGUCGGACGUGAAAUCCCUCGGCUUAACCGGGGAACUGCGUCCGAUACUGGAGGGCUCGAAUCCGGGAGAGGGAUGCGGAAUUCCAGGUGUAGCGGUGAAAUGCGUAGAUAUCUGGAGGAACACCGGUGGCGAAGGCGGCAUCCUGGACGGUGACUGACGCUGAGACGCGAAAGCGUGGGGAGCAAACAGGAUUAGAUACCCUGGUAGUCCACGCUGUAAACGAUGAGCACUAGGUGUCGCGGGUAUUGACCCCUGCGGUGCCGCCGCUAACGCAUUAAGUGCUCCGCCUGGGGACUACGGCCGCAAGGUUAAAACUCAAAGGAAUUGACGG
Molecule: ribosomal RNA, 588 nt
Filed under: uncultured bacterium
Lineage: Bacteria
Description: bacterial SSU rRNA
Rfam family: Bacterial small subunit ribosomal RNA
Source: RNAcentral